UGGGGAAUUUUGGACAAUGGGCGAAAGCCUGAUCCAGCAAUGCCGCGUGAGUGAAGAAGGCCUUCGGGUUGUAAAGCUCUUUUGUCAGGGAAGAAACGAGUUUCUCUAAUACAGAGACUUAAUGACGGUACCUGAAGAAUAAGCACCGGCUAACUACGUGCCAGCAGCCGCGGUAAUACGUAGGGUGCAAGCGUUAAUCGGAAUUACUGGGCGUAAAGCGUGCGCAGGCGGUUAUGUAAGACAGAUGUGAAAUCCCCGGGCUCAACCUGGGAACUGCGUUUGUGAAUGCAUAACUAGAGUACGGCAGAGGGAGGUGGAAUUCCGCGUGUAGCAGUGAAAUGCGUAGAGAUGCGGAGGAACACCGAUGGCGAAGGCAGCCUCCUGGGCCAGUACUGACGCUCAUGCACGAAAGCGUGGGGAGCAAACA
RNAcentral lists this ribosomal RNA (427 nucleotides) under uncultured bacterium. RNAcentral describes it as "bacterial SSU rRNA". It matches the Rfam family "Bacterial small subunit ribosomal RNA", at positions 355 to 774 of the family's 1533-position model. The record is from RNAcentral.